UCUUUUUCGUAUAAUGACUUCUUUUCCUCUGGGUAGAUACCCAGUAGUGGGAUUGCUGGAUCAAAUGGUAGUUCUAGUUUUCGUUCUUUAAGGAGUCUGUCCAUAGUGGUUGUACUAGUUAACAUUCCCACCAGCAGUGUGGAAGUGUGCCCACCACCAUGUGAGCCUACGUUUUGCAUCAACAUAACCUGGAUGUGAGACAUGAAGUCAAAGAUCAUUUUUGAGCUUUCAGAUUUAAUGACUGCCCUAUUAGGUUUUGGACUUG
This 265-nucleotide long non-coding RNA is filed under the name Homo sapiens (human). RNAcentral describes it as "non-protein coding lnc-ANGPT2-13:1". Lineage: Eukaryota; Metazoa; Chordata; Mammalia; Primates; Hominidae. The record is from RNAcentral.